This 1112-nucleotide long non-coding RNA is filed under the name Rattus norvegicus (Norway rat). RNAcentral's name for it is "long non-coding RNA NONRATT024541". The record is from RNAcentral. Lineage: Eukaryota; Metazoa; Chordata; Mammalia; Rodentia; Muridae.
UUAAAGUCUUGAAGUGGAAUGAGAAUGUUAUUUUAAAAGAAAAAAAUAACAAAACAACAAAAAAGUAAACCUUAAAAUGUGAAGAAAGUGUGAGUUUCUUUUUCGUUUUGUCACAGUUAACUGUGUCAAAGAGAAUUUAAACAACAGACAACAGAAACUUCUCAGAUUUUGUUUACAUAUUUUACUACAUUUUUGCUGGUAUAACCCCUCAGUCGUGUAUGUACAUACCGCUUUAAGAACUGUUAUUUCCUUUCUGUCUGUUUAUUCGGUUUGUGUUCCAUUCUCUUUCUGUCUUCUUUUUGUAAAGAGGAAGCAAUGUACAGAGUAAAAAAAAAUAAUAAUAAACAAACUGGUUUCGUUGCCAUAGCCAUUCAAAAAGCAAGAAGAUAAAACAGGACACAUGCUCGCACAGAGGCGAGGUGUGUCAUCUGGAGGGGCAGGCGUAUGCGAUUUCUCUUGUACAGAUGAAAACCAAUCAGCUGUUUAGAUUUAGAAAUCUACUCUUGCUGGUCUUUGUAAGUUGCAUGAAUAUUUGACUUUGAAAAACAAUUAUCCUAAAGACAUGGGGCAGAAGGCGCAGUUUAAACAAUGGCAAGCCUUCACUGAUGUGUAUGGAAAGUGGUGUUCCUCCUUAUCCGAGAUCUCAAUGUGUUAAGAGUUUCCCUUUUUUUUUUUUUUGGUUGUUGUCAUUAAAAAGACAGGACUGUAAAAGAGUAUUAAAGCACGAUUUUAGAUAAAUGGCCCAGCCCAUAUGAAGUUGAUUAUAUCUCGAUGUCUGUGACAGAUUGCUGUUCUUGGAGUCGUGAGAUCUUGUGAACUGACCUUCUCCUUUCUUUCCAUUUUUUUUAAAAUCGGAGUAAAAUCUCAUUUGUUAUAUUCCUUUUAGUGUAAGUUAAUAUCUGGACAGUUUUACGGGAACCUGUGCAUUCUGUAUGCGAGCUUUCAUCGGAUUCCUGUUGUGUUCUUUGCAGACCCUGAAAGAGAUUUUUUUCAUAACGUUGUGAUGUUCCUGCUUUUUUUGUUUUGUUUUGUUUUGUUUUUCCUUUUCUCUUUUAUUUCCCAUUUGCUUUUUCGUUCAAGGAUAUGCUUAGCAAUAAAAUGUUCUUCCCAAA